UACGUAGGGGGCAAGCGUUAUCCGGAUUUACUGGGUGUAAAGGGAGCGUAGACGGCAGAGCAAGUCUGAAGUGAAAGCCUGCGGCCCAACUUCGGGACUGCUUUGGAAACUGCCCGGCUAGAGUGCUGGAGAGGUAAGCGGAAUUCCUAGUGUAGCGGUGAAAUGCGUAGAUAUUAGGAGGAACACCAGUGGCGAAGGCGGCUUACUGGACAGUAACUGACGUUGAGGCUCGAAAGCGUGGGGAGCAAACAGG
RNAcentral lists this ribosomal RNA (253 nucleotides) under uncultured bacterium. Its description in RNAcentral is "partial 16S ribosomal RNA". It matches the Rfam family "Bacterial small subunit ribosomal RNA", at positions 524 to 776 of the family's 1533-position model. The record is from RNAcentral.